Long non-coding RNA from Corvus moneduloides (New Caledonian crow), 2991 nucleotides. NCBI's taxonomy places the organism in Eukaryota, Metazoa, Chordata, Aves, Passeriformes, Corvidae. The record is from Ensembl.
AUGAAUUCCCGUCCUCCUGCCCGCGGCGCUGCGCGUGGCCUCGAUACCGCGCGUGUCCGUGCAGUGUCCGUGCAGUGUCCCUGCCGUGUCCGUGCCGUGUCCCUGCCGUGUCCGUACCGUGUUCCUGCCGUGUCCGUGCCGUGUCCGUGCAGUGUCCGUGCCGUGUCCGUGCCGUGUUCCUGCCGUGUCCCUGCCGUGUUCCUGCCGUGUCCCUGCCGUGUCCCUGCCGUGUCCGUGCUGUGUCCGUGCCGUGUCCGUGCAGUGUCCGUGCAGUGUCCCUGCCGUGUCCGUACCGUGUUCCUGCCGUGUCCGUGCCGUGUUCCUGCCGUGUCCCUGCCGUGUCCGUGCAGUGUCCGUGCAGUGUCCCUGCCGUGUCCGUGCCGUGUCCGUGCAGUGUCCGUGCAGUGUCCGUACCGUGUUCCUGCCGUGUCCGUACCGUGUUCCUGCCGUGUCCGUGCCGUGUCCCUGCCGUGUCCCUGCCGUGUCCGUGCCGUGUCCGUGCAGUGUCCCUGCCGUGUCCGUGCCGUGUCCGUGCAGUGUCCGUGCAGUGUCCCUGCCGUGUCCGUGCAGUGUCCGUGCCGUGUCCCUGCCGUGUCCCUGCCGUGUCCCUGCCGUGUCCGUGCAGUGUCCGUGCAGUGUCCCUGCCGUGUCCGUGCCGUGUCCGUGCCGUGUCCGUACCAUGUUCCUGCCGUGUCCCUGCCGUGUCCGUACAGUGUCCCUGCCGUGUCCGUGCCGUGUCCGUGCAGUGUCCCUGCCGUGUCCGUACCGUGUUCCUGCCGUGUCCGUGCCGUGUCCCUGCCGUGUCCCUGCCGUGUCCGUGCAGUGUCCGUACCGUGUUCCUGCCGUGUCCGUACAGUGUCCGUGCCGUGUCCGUGCCGUGUCCGUGCAGUGUCCGUACCGUGUUCCUGCCGUGUCCGUGCAGUGUCCGUGCAGUGUCCGUGCAGUGUCCCUGCCGUGUCCGUGCCGUGUCCCUGCCGUGUCCGUACCGUGUUCCUGCCGUGUCCGUGCCGUGUCCGUGCAGUGUCCGUACCGUGUUCCUGCCGUGUCCGUGCCGUGUCCGUGCAGUGUCCCUGCCGUGUCCGUGCCGUGUCCCUGCCGUGUCCGUGCCGUGUCCGUGCCGUGUCCGUGCCGUGUCCGUGCAGUGUCCCUGCCGUGUCCGUGCAGUGUCCCUGCCGUGUCCGUGCCGUGUCCGUGCAGUGUCCGUGCAGUGUCCCUGCCGUGUCCCUGCCGUGUCCGUGCCGUGUCCGUGCAGUGUCCCUGCCGUGUCCCUGCCGUGUCCGUGCAGUGUCCGUGCAGUGUCCGUGCAGUGUCCCUGCCGUGUUCCUGCCGUGUCCGUGCAGUGUCCGUGCAGUGUCCGUGCCGUGUCCGUGCCGUGUCCGUGCCGUGUCCGUGCAGUGUCUGUGCAGUGUCCCUGCCGUGUCCGUGCCGUGUCCGUGCAGUGUCCGUGCAGUGUCCGUGCCGUGUCCCUGCCGUGUCCCUGCCGUGUCCGUGCAGUGUCCGUGCAGUGUCCGUGCAGUGUCCCUGCCGUGUCCCUGCCGUGUCCGUGCAGUGUCCGUGCAGUGUCCCUGCCGUGUCCGUACCGUGUUCCUGCCGUGUCCGUGCCGUGUCCCUGCCGUGUCCGUACCGUGUUCCUGCCGUGUCCGUACCAUGUUCCUGCCGUGUCCGUGCCGUGUCCCUGCCGUGUCCCUGCCGUGUCCGUACAGUGUCCGUGCAGUGUCCGUGCAGUGUCCGUGCCGUGUCCCUGCCGUGUCCGUACAGUGUCCGUGCCGUGUCCGUGCCGUGUCCGUGCCGUGUUCCUGCCGUGUCCGUGCCGUGUCCGUGCAGUGUCCGUGCAGUGUCCGUGCAGUGUCCGUGCAGUGUCCGUACCGUGUUCCUGCCGUGUCCGUACAGUGUCCGUGCCGUGUCCGUGCCGUGUCCGUGCAGUGUCCGUACCGUGUUCCUGCCGUGUCCGUGCCGUGUCCGUGCAGUGUCCGUGCAGUGUCCCUGCCGUGUCCGUGCCGUGUCCGUGCCGUGUCCGUGCAGUGUCCCUGCCGUGUCCCUGCCGUGUCCGUGCCGUGUCCCUGCCGUGUCCGUGCCGUGUCCGUGCAGUGUCCCUGCCGUGUCCGUGCAGUGUCCGUGCCGUGUCCGUGCAGUGUCCGUGCAGUGUCCCUGCCGUGUCCGUGCAGUGUCCGUGCAGUGUCCCUGCCGUGUUCCUGCUGUGUCCGUGCUGUGUCCGUGCAGUGUCCGUGCCGUGUCCGUGCAGUGUCCGUGCCGUGUCCCUGCCGUGUCCGUGCCGUGUCCGUGCAGUGUCCGUGCCGUGUCCGUGCAGUGUCCCUGCCGUGUCCGUGCCGUGUCUGUGCAGUGUCCCUGCCGUGUCCCUGCCGUGUCCGUGCCGUGUCCGUGCAGUGUCCCUGCCGUGUCCCUGCCGUGUCCGUGCCGUGUCCGUGCAGUGUCCGUGCAGUGUCCCUGCCGUGUCCGUGCCGUGUUCCUGCCGUGUCCCAGCACCGCGCAGCCCGUGCUAACGCAGGUGACACCGGCGCCUGUGUCCCCCGACAGCAGCACGGGCACUGUGCAGCGUGGGCAUCGCGGUACGGGGAGGAGGAAGGCUGCGCCAGGCCCCAAAGAGGACAGGGAAUACCUGCUGUCCCUCCUGCCACACACCCUGUGCUCCAUCGUUGUCAGCCUCCCACCUCCCCGCCGCAGCUGGGGCGAAUCCCCCCUGAGACGUCUCCCAGCGCUGAGCAGCCCCUGGGAACAUCCCAUCGGAGCCUGCAGCUCCAGUUCACAGAUCUAAAUAAUCAUGCUACAGUCCUUGAACCGCAGCUGUGUGGAUCUGAGCCUCCAGCACCUCUGGGAGAGACCAUCCAUCUCGGCUCUUCCUGCUUGAAGGGUGACAGCCCAGCUGCAGCAACCUCUGAGCUAGGUCACCUGCACUGCCAUCACCUUCCCUGGACAAUGGGCUCUCCACACCACCCACGGGUCCCAGGAACACGAUUAUUCCUAUGCAAAUAG